Molecule: transfer RNA, 92 nt
Filed under: Streptomyces lavendulae subsp. lavendulae
Lineage: Bacteria; Bacillati; Actinomycetota; Actinomycetes; Kitasatosporales; Streptomycetaceae
Description: tRNA-Lys(ctt)
Source: RNAcentral
UGCGGCCCCGGUCGGGCGGGACGGGUCAGUUCUUGACCGGCCAUUCCAGCGGCGGCUUCAUGAAGCCGCGGCUCAGCUCCACCGCCGCGGCC